GCUCGGGUAGCUCAGCUGGUUAGAGCAUUCGACUGUUAAUCGAGAGGUCGAGGGUUCGAUCCCCUCCCUGAGCG
This is a non-coding RNA of Schistocerca gregaria, 74 nucleotides long. The record is from the annotation of a RefSeq genome assembly. Lineage: Eukaryota; Metazoa; Arthropoda; Insecta; Orthoptera; Acrididae.